ACAUUUUUAUUAAUACACACACAUGUACACGUUAUUAAUUUAAUAUAUUUCAAUUAAUCUAGUUUAAUUANNNNUUUUUUUUUUUUUUUUUUUUUCUUAUAACUGAACUCUCCUUUUAAACAUGCAGUAAAAGUAAAAGUGCAUCUCACCUCGUCGGUGUGGAAGAUCUCCGGAUCUCCCUUCUCCAGCGUCUUCAGCUUCUGUUCCAGUGCCAUCCAUUCUCCCCUGAGGGCCAGAGGCAUCAGGCGCUGAGGGGUCCCGGACACACAAGAGCUUUCUGACAUCAUACAAGACCACAAAACAAGCUCACGGGAACCGAACCGGACGCGUCUGUCAGCACCAUAACAAAAGCGCGUUCAUCAGAAGACAACGCGCAGACAGAUCCGCUGCAGGUGCGGGUCUAACGGUUCCUCCCUCUUGGUAGGAGGUAUAAAGCGAACAUUCCUCCGUUAAAGUUUGCUAACUCCGCCUUCAGUUCCUCCUGUUACCCUGGAUUCAACAAAAAAGACCAUUGAAACAAGCCCAUAGAAAAGAGACAGAACAGUAAGCGCCCAAGCUGCAGAAAACAGCCAUUCAGCUCGACUUUAGUGCUGCUGUUGUCCUUUAACUAACUUACCUCAGAAUCGACAUCAACAUUUUAAAGCUAAAAUACAAUUAGUUAACCUCUAUUUAGGGGUAAAAUCAGGUCCAUCUGCAUGUAAAUGUGUUUUCGCGUGACCACAUAACGUUUAUUUAAUCUAGCAUUGUAAAUUUAACUAAAUAAAUAUAAGGCAUUUUAGACAAGUAACGUUAACCCCGCGCUCGGUUUUAACUGACGCCGCGCUCGCGAGCGGCUCCACGUGACCAAUCAGAGCUCGCGCACGUUUUUAGUUCAUACCAGAGCCGUUAAAUAUUUUUCAACGGCUCUGGUUCAUACUAACUAUAUGAAGAAAUUAAUAUAUAUUUAUUUCUUUUUAUUCGGCAACCGCUUCUCAAAACGCAAAAAUCUACGCAAACCCAAAAUCACCAUGAACCGGAAGUCAGCCGCUGUGUCUGUCUCUGGUCUGUUUACUUUUGCCUCUGCUGAAUCCACGUGAACACAAGUGCGUAUUUGAGUUUAAUAACUUGUUAGUUAUAAUUCUGUGUGUUAGUUAAUUAAGCGGAUAGAUUUCAGUUCAUGCGUUACAAUAUUCAGAGUGAAUGGAGCCUGAUAGUGUGAUAUUAUCUUUCAAGGUUAUUAUUUGUUUGAAAGCGUAGUCAACAUUUUAAAAACGUACUUUUUAAAUACAUUUUAAUAUAUACUGUACCUAAUUAAAUAUAUAGUUAAUAUACCUUUUAAUAUAUAAUUGAUUUUAAUAAAUGUCAUUUCAAUCAGUGACA
Molecule: long non-coding RNA, 1359 nt
Organism: Cyprinus carpio (common carp)
Lineage: Eukaryota; Metazoa; Chordata; Actinopteri; Cypriniformes; Cyprinidae
Source: Ensembl